CCUCCUCCUGCUAUUGGCGCCGUGUUAGGGAGCCGGAAGGAGGCUGAGAGGUUCUGAAAAUGAAACCAGAAUGCUGUCCAGGCUGACGCGGGCACCUGGUGAGCAGAGGGACCGUCCAUGAAUCUGCACCCCACAUGAGACGCACGUGCAAACUGGAACUAAUGCCUGCUCACAGCCUAAUUACACUCGCGGCGUCAGCGUUCUGGGCAGGCCGUUCACACUGAAACUCGGUCGGCACUGGCGCUGGGGCGGAUCCUGGCCAUCGACCACUCCAUUCUACAGCGGCUCCUUCAGUGAGUCGCAAAAACACUUGCUGAUUCUGGGCCUCAAUUUCCCCUUGUGCAAGGCGAGGCCAGUGCCUUAGCCUCACAGAAAAUAAAAAGUGUCCCAGAAGCAGAGGGAAGUGUGGUUUAAAACCCAUCAAAACCACAGCGAGGGCCUGAGAUCCUGACUCCCGACGGCACCACAGCCUCACAGUUCUGGCUGUGAGUCACAGACCUUAUUCCAGAAGGAGCCCUAGGAUGGCAGCAGGAUGCAGUGGUUAGCAUUGGGAUUCACGCUGCCCCGUGGCCUGGCCGAGACGCACCCACGAGGAUCCCUCGCCCGUGGCCGCCCUCCUCACCCAGCACUCCAGGCAA
RNAcentral lists this long non-coding RNA (638 nucleotides) under Homo sapiens (human). RNAcentral's name for it is "HSALNT0253814". The record is from RNAcentral. Lineage: Eukaryota; Metazoa; Chordata; Mammalia; Primates; Hominidae.